UAAGGAAUAUUGGUCAAUGGACGCAAGUCUGAACCAGCCAUGCCGCGUGAAGGAUGAAGGUCCUCUGGAUUGUAAACUUCUUUUAUCUGGGACGAAAACGGGAUUUUUAUCUCAAUUGACGGUACCAGAGGAAUAAGCACCGGCUAACUCCGUGCCAGCAGCCGCGGUAAUACGGCGGGUGCGAGCGUUAUCCGGAUUUACUGGGUUUAAAGGGUGCGUAGGUGGGCUUAUAAGUCAGUGGUGAAAUCUCCGAGCUUAACUUGGAAACUGCCGUUGAUACUAUAGGUCUUGAAUUAUCUGGAGGUAAGCGGAAUAUGUCAUGUAGCGGUGAAAUGUUUAGAUAUGACAUAGAACACCAAUUGCGAAGGCAGCUUACUACAUAUAAAUUGACGCUGAGGCACGAAAGCGUG
This 410-nucleotide ribosomal RNA is filed under the name uncultured bacterium. RNAcentral describes it as "bacterial SSU rRNA". It matches the Rfam family "Bacterial small subunit ribosomal RNA", at positions 355 to 763 of the family's 1533-position model. The record is from RNAcentral.